GGAAUAUUGCGCAAUGGGGGGAACCCUGACGCAGCAACGCCGCGUGAAGGAGGAAGUAUUUCGGUAUGUAAACUUCUAUCAGCAGGGAAGAAGGAAGUGACGGUACCUGCAUAAGAAGCCCCGGCUAAUUACGUGCCAGCAGCCGCGGUAAUACGUAAGGGGCAAGCGUUAUCCGGAUUUACUGGGUGUAAAGGGAGCGUAGACGGCGGUGCAAGCCAGAUGUGAAAGCCCGGGGCUCAACCCCGGGACUGCAUUUGGAACUGUAUGGCUGGAGUGUCGGAGAGGCAGGCGGAAUUCCUAGUGUAGCGGUGAAAUGCGUAGAUAUUAGGAGGAACACCAGUGGCGAAGGCGGCCUGCUGGACGAUGACUGACGUUGAGGCUCGAAAGCGUGGGGAGCAAACAG
Molecule: ribosomal RNA, 403 nt
Filed under: uncultured bacterium
Lineage: Bacteria
Description: bacterial SSU rRNA
Rfam family: Bacterial small subunit ribosomal RNA
Source: RNAcentral